This 851-nucleotide ribosomal RNA is filed under the name uncultured bacterium. RNAcentral's name for it is "bacterial SSU rRNA". It matches the Rfam family "Bacterial small subunit ribosomal RNA", at positions 8 to 840 of the family's 1533-position model. The record is from RNAcentral.
AGAGUUUGAUCCUGGCUCAGGAUGAACGCUGGCGGCAUGCCUAAUACACGCAAGUCGAACGAGAGGAAGGAAAGCUUGCUUUCCUAAAUCUAGUGGCGAACGGGUGAGUAACACGUAGGUAACCUGCCCAUGUGCCCGGGAUAACUUCUGGAAACGGAUGCUAAAACCGGAUAGGUAGCAGACAAGCAUUUGACUGCUAUUAAAGUGGCUAAGGCCAUGAACAUGGAUGGACCUGCGGUGCAUUAGUUAGUUGGUGAGGUAAAGGCUCACCAAGACCGUGAUGCAUAGCCGACCUGAGAGGGUAAUCGGCCACACUGGGACUGAGACACGGCCCAGACUCCUACGGGAGGCAGCAGUAGGGAAUCUUCCACAAUGGACGAAAGUCUGAUGGAGCAACGCCGCGUGAGUGAAGAAGGUUUUCGGAUCGUAAAACUCUGUUGUUGGAGAAGAAUGUAUCUGAUAGUAACUGAUCAGGUAGUGACGGUAUCCAACCAGAAAGCCACGGCUAACUACGUGCCAGCAGCCGCGGUAAUACGUAGGUGGCAAGCGUUGUCCGGAUUUAUUGGGCGUAAAGCGAGCGCAGGCGGUUUCUUAAGUCUGAUGUGAAAGCCUUCGGCUCAACCGAAGAAGUGCAUCGGAAACUGGGAAACUUGAGUGCAGAAGAGGACAGUGGAACUCCAUGUGUAGCGGUGAAAUGCGUAGAUAUAUGGAAGAACACCAGUGGCGAAGGCGGCUGUCUGGUCUGUAACUGACGCUGAGGCUCGAAAGCAUGGGUAGCAAACAGGAUUAGAUACCCUGGUAGUCCAUGCCGUAAACGAUGAGUGCUAGGGUGUGGGAAGGGUUCCGCCCUU